ACAAGAGCUUAUAUCUCAUUGCAGAUUCUAAGGGUGGUAAACUUUCGGACCAGCGAAGGGAUGGUGUUUAAGUCCACCGAGGCUGAGUCAAUGAUGUAUUGUAGUAUGAGUGAUACCCGAUAGUAGUCUUGUAGGGGGAAUUAUAGGGAAAAUAUUUUAUCAAAUGAUUUUCUAGGGUCACAUGUUAUCAUUCCUGUGAGAAAUGUACUCUUGGAUGGUAAACCCGUGACCUAACACGUCGGAUGACAUUUAAGUCC
This 257-nucleotide long non-coding RNA is filed under the name Musa acuminata (dwarf banana). Its description in RNAcentral is "long non-coding RNA (MACU_LNC002711)". The record is from RNAcentral. Lineage: Eukaryota; Viridiplantae; Streptophyta; Magnoliopsida; Zingiberales; Musaceae.